Molecule: ribosomal RNA, 497 nt
Filed under: uncultured bacterium
Lineage: Bacteria
Description: partial 16S ribosomal RNA
Rfam family: Bacterial small subunit ribosomal RNA
Source: RNAcentral
GACGAACGCUGGCGGCGUGCCUAAUACAUGCAAGUUGAGCGCUGAAGGUUGGUACUUGUACCAACUGGAUGAGCAGCGAACGGGUGAGUAACGCGUGGGGAAUCUGCCUUUGAGCGGGGGACAACAUUUGGAAACGAAUGCUAAUACCGCAUAAAAACUUUAAACACAAGUUUUAAGUUUGAAAGAUGCAAUUGCAUCACUCAAAGAUGAUCCCGCGUUGUAUUAGCUAGUUGGUGAGGUAAAGGCUCACCAAGGCGAUGAUACAUAGCCGACCUGAGAGGGUGAUCGGCCAAAUUGGGACUGAGACACGGCCCAAACUCCUACGGGAGGCAGCAGUAGGGAAUCUUCGGCAAUGGACGAAAGUCUGACCGAGCAACGCCGCGUGAGUGAAGAAGGUUUUCGGAUCGUAAAACUCUGUUGGUAGAGAAGAACGUUGGGGAGAGUGGAAAGCUCAUCAAGUGACGGUAACUACCCAGAAAGGGACGGCUAACUACGUG